AUACGUAGGUGGCAAGCGUUGUCCGGAAUUAUUGGGCGUAAAGCGCGCGCAGGCGGUCUUUUAAGUCUGAUGUGAAGGCCCACGGCUCAACCGUGGAGGGUCAUUGGAAACUGGGAGACUUGAGUGCAGAAGAGAAGAGUGGAAUUCCACGUGUAGCGGUGAAAUGCGUAGAGAUGUGGAGGAACACCAGUGGCGAAGGCGACUCUUUGGUCUGUAACUGACGCUGAGGCGCGAAAGCGUGGGGAGCGAACAGGAUUAGAUACCCUGGUAGUCCACGCCGUAAACGAUGAGUGCUAAGUGUUAGAGGGUUUCCGCCCUUUAGUGCUGCAGCAAACGCAUUAAGCACUCCGCCUGGGGAGUACGGCCGCAAGGCUGAA
Molecule: ribosomal RNA, 377 nt
Filed under: uncultured bacterium
Lineage: Bacteria
Description: bacterial SSU rRNA
Rfam family: Bacterial small subunit ribosomal RNA
Source: RNAcentral